GUGCCAGCAGCCGCGGUAAUACGUAAGUCCCGAGCGUUAUCCGGAUUUAUUGGGCGUAAAGCGAGCGCAGACGGUUAAUUAAGUCUGAUGUGAAAGCCCGGAGCUCAACUCCGGAAAGGCAUUGGAAACUGGUUAACUUGAGUGCAGUAGAGGUAAGUGGAACUCCAUGUGUAGCGGUGGAAUGCGUAGAUAUAUGGAAGAACACCAGCGGCGAAGGCGGCUUACUGGACUGUAACUGACGUUGAGGCUCGAAAGUGUGGGUAGCAAACAGGAUUAGAUACCCUGGUAGUCCACACCGUAAACGAUGAACACUAGGUGUUAGGAGGUUUCCGCCUCUUAGUGCCGAAGCUAACGCAUUAAGUGUUCCGCCUGGGGAGUACGACCGCAAGGUUGAAACUCAAAGGAAUUGACGGGGACCCGCACAAGCGGUGGAGCAUGUAGUUUAAUUCGAAGCAACGCGAAGAACCUUACCAGGUCUUGACAUCCUUUGAAGCUUUUAGAGAUAGAAGUGUUCUCUUCGGAGACAAAGUGACAGGUGGUGCAUGGUCGUCGUCAGCUCGUGUCGUGAGAUGUUGGGUUAAGUCCCGCAACGAGCGCCACCCUUAUUGUUAGUUGCCAGCAUUCAGAUGGGCACUCUAGCGAGACUGCCGGUGACAAACCGGAGGAAGGCGGGGACGACGUCAGAUCAUCAUGCCCCUUAUGACCUGGGCUACACACGUGCUACAAUGGCGUAUACAACGAGUUGCCAACCUGUGAAGGUGAGCUAAUCUCUUAAAGUACGUCUCAGUUCGGACUGCAGUCUGCAACUCGACUGCACGAAGUCGGAAUCGCUAGUAAUCGCGGAUCAGCACGCCGCGGUGAAUACGUUCCCGGGUCUUGUACACACCGCCCGU
RNAcentral lists this ribosomal RNA (893 nucleotides) under uncultured bacterium. Its description in RNAcentral is "bacterial SSU rRNA". It matches the Rfam family "Bacterial small subunit ribosomal RNA", at positions 505 to 1397 of the family's 1533-position model. The record is from RNAcentral.